RNAcentral lists this ribosomal RNA (405 nucleotides) under uncultured bacterium. RNAcentral describes it as "partial 16S ribosomal RNA". It matches the Rfam family "Bacterial small subunit ribosomal RNA", at positions 28 to 526 of the family's 1533-position model. The record is from RNAcentral.
GACGAACGCUGGCGGCGUGCUUAACACAUGCAAGUCGAGCGGAGCGGCGCACGGGUGAGUAACGCGUGAGUAACUGCCCCCCUCUCUGGGAUAACAGUUGGAAACGGCUGCUAAUACCGGAUAUUGGGGGAUGACUCGCGUCCUAUCAGCUUGUUGGUGGGGUAGUGGCCUACCAAGGCGACGACGGGUAGCCGGCCUGAGAGGGCGACCGGCCACAUUGGGCUGAGAUACGGCCCAAACUGAUACGGGAGGCAGGAGUGGGGAAUUGUGCGCAAUGGGAGCAAGCCUGAGGCAGGGAGGCCGCGUGAGGGAUGAAGGCCUGCGGGUUGUAAACCUUUUUCGCUCAUGGUCGGGUAGUGGGUAAAGAAGCGCCGGCUAACUACGUGCCAGCAGCCGCGGUAAUUC